Molecule: ribosomal RNA, 253 nt
Filed under: uncultured bacterium
Lineage: Bacteria
Description: partial 16S ribosomal RNA
Rfam family: Bacterial small subunit ribosomal RNA
Source: RNAcentral
UACAGAGGUGGCAAGCGUUGUUCGGAAUUACUGGGCGUAAAGGGCGCGUAGGCGGCCGCCUAAGUCAGACGUGAAAUCCCCAAGCUUAACUUGGGAACUGCGUCUGAUACUGGGUGGCUUGAGUUCGAGAGAGGUGAGUGGAAUUCCGAGUGUAGAGGUGAAAUUCGUAGAUAUUCGCAAGAACACCAGUGGCGAAGGCGGCUCACUGGCCCGGUACUGACGCUGAGGUGCGAAAGCGUGGGGAGCAAACAGG